AGACAUCCAAGUGACUUCUUGUAUUGGUCACGCUCAGUACCCUUUUUGUCCAACAAGCACCUGCACUAUCACUUCAAUGUCCCUACACUGUGGACUCAAGUCUCGUCCAUCCAGAAGGAAAGUGAUCUGUGCACUGAUCGGAUCGAUCACCGUCCUCGUGAUGAUCCAUUGAUCAGGAGCAUUUAGAAAUUAAUCACCAAUGAUACAUGGCUCAAAUUCUCAACUCUUGAGAAUAUGCAUCAUCAUCUUAUUAAUUUCUUGGACGAUUCAUAGACAUAUAAAUAAUAUGAAUGAAAAGAUGCCUUUUAUUUAUUCAAUAAUAAAUAGUCAAGUACAAAAUUAUGUCCCUAGAAUUAACAAUGUGUCAGCCAGAUUGGCUUCUAGGGCAUACAUCUAACAGUAGGAACACUGAAGUGAUAGUGCAGGUGCUUGUUAGAGAACAAGGGUACUGAGCAUGACCAAGACAAUAAGUCACUUGGAUGUCUAUCCACUCGUCAGUGACUUUCUUGAUGUUGCAGUAGUAUGACUGGUCCUUUGACCUGCGGUGCUUCGGUUACUCACAGUGAGGUUAUUGUAGUUUGACUACACGUAUACAUAGUCUCUAGUCAUAUGGGUCCUUGUAGUGUAGAUUGGCUGCAGUAGGUUCACUGUAGGAGUAGGGUAUGCACUUACAUGGAAUCUAUCGACCUUGAUAGAAGAGGAGUGAUCCUAUAUGAUUUAUUAGACUGAGUUCUAAGACCUUGGCCAGGGUAGUAAUAUAAAGUGGAGAAAGAGUUUUC
This 779-nucleotide long non-coding RNA is filed under the name Phoenix dactylifera (date palm). RNAcentral describes it as "long non-coding RNA (PDAC_LNC009374)". Lineage: Eukaryota; Viridiplantae; Streptophyta; Magnoliopsida; Arecales; Arecaceae. The record is from RNAcentral.